This is a long non-coding RNA of Girardinichthys multiradiatus, 627 nucleotides long. RefSeq lists it as uncharacterized. The transcript is spliced from 2 exons. The record is from RefSeq and is a predicted model, not a curated record. NCBI's taxonomy places the organism in Eukaryota, Metazoa, Chordata, Actinopteri, Cyprinodontiformes, Goodeidae.
CGGAGUUGGCGGCUCGGCCGUGCUAAACUUUGUCCAUCUGUAGCACCGCGGGCGUGUGGAGAGACCCCAACAGUGGGGAAAAAUCGGAAACGCAGGCAGACCUGCAAUACAUCUUGAUCGAUUCCUGAGGUGAUGUCCAACAAGUCUCCUCUGCGGCCAUAUCGUUUUAUUGCCCCGCAGGCAGCCAUGCGUGCACAGCUCACCUCCUUCCUCGGUGGGAAAACCCAAGUUAAAAACACAAGGGGAAGGACAUAGCUCAUCACUCCAGCCUCGAAAAAUUUUGUUUGGAAUUGUGAGUACUGUUUUUCUUUAGCUUUUUUAUUUGUUAUUUUUUUACCCACAAAAGGAGGUUGGCCUAUUAGAUUUUUGGUCCGUUUGCAACAUUAUCAUAUUCACACAAGCAAAAAUAAUAUAUCCCACUCAAACUCCUGUUUCACUUUACGCAGAGGAGCAGGGUGCACUGAAGAGCCCCGAAGCAAUAAAGAUGAAACAGAAAACAACGUCUGCAUUUGUUGAUUGGUUUGCAUAAUUAAAAAGGUGAAGAUUUCUUGUACCCCCUUUAAUUCAGAAGGCAUUGGCAUGCAGGAAUGUUUGUCUGUCAGUGAAGAAUAAAUCUGCAGAACUAUA